GGAAUUCAGCUAUAGCUCUAAACUAAUCUUUGGAGCUGAAACCAAACUCAGAAAUCCACCAUAUAC
Mus musculus (house mouse) is the source of this 66-nucleotide non-coding RNA. The record is from the annotation of a RefSeq genome assembly. Lineage: Eukaryota; Metazoa; Chordata; Mammalia; Rodentia; Muridae.